Electrophorus electricus (electric eel) is the source of this 233-nucleotide non-coding RNA. Lineage: Eukaryota; Metazoa; Chordata; Actinopteri; Gymnotiformes; Gymnotidae. The record is from RefSeq and is a predicted model, not a curated record.
GAGGGGUGUGCAUGUUCCAGACACUGCCUCCAAAGCUUCAACAAAGGCCUUCCAGGGAGGCCCAGGGGAUCACCUUGAGCAGGAGGGACCUUCACUUGUUUGUGCAACCUGGUUAUUAAUGCUACUUCUGGGUAGUCCAGAGAAUCGAGUGUUGCAUUGAUCCAGCUCUAACAAAUGCCUGCCACACACAUGUAUUAGAUGGGCCGUACAUUAACUGUGCACACAGCCUUUGU